Condylura cristata (star-nosed mole) is the source of this 331-nucleotide non-coding RNA. Lineage: Eukaryota; Metazoa; Chordata; Mammalia; Eulipotyphla; Talpidae. The record is from the annotation of a RefSeq genome assembly.
UGCGGACACUCGCCAUGGAGUGUGGGCUGAGCUGGCUGCUCCUCCUGGCUCUUCUAGGGGGUGUCCAGUGUGAGGAGAAGCUGGUGGAGUCUGGGGGAGAAUUGGUGCAGCCUUGGGCGUCUCUGAGACUCUCCUGCGCAGCCUCAGGAUUCACCUACAGUAGUUACGAUAUGAGCUGGGUCCGCCAGACCCCAGGAAAGGGGCUACAGUGGGUUGCAGGCAUCAGGAGCAAAGGUGGUAAUACAUACUACGCGGACUCUGUGAAGGGCCGAUUCACCAUCUCCAGAGACAACGGCAAGAACUCGCUGUAUCUGCAGAUGAACAGCCUGAA